AUGGUUGAGCCUCUAAUGGGGGAAGUGACGUUCUUCAAUUAUCAAGUCAUUUUGCGAUUUCAAGAUGUAUUAUACUUACCUAUUGUUGGUUCCUUAUGCAGGAUGGCAAACAAAGGUAAUCCCGGAGCGAAGAGGAAGAAGAAGCAGGAGGCUGGCGGGCAGAAGAAUCAGGAAGCUGGAGGGGAGAAGAAGCAGGGGGCUGGCGGGAAGAAGAAGCCGACCCUGCACUGCUUGGCACUUGAGGAGGAGAGAGGAUGUAAAAAGUUCAAUGAAUAUAUGCAAGAACUGGCUAACAAGUCCCCUGGAAAAGAUAUAUGCGUGGUUGAGCCAUCUCGCGGGGAUACACAAACACCUGGUGAAGCACUGCUAAUUGAAGAGGCCCAGACAGCAAUCCUCAGAGUCAUUCAUCUAUAUAUGGACGAAAUCGAGGAAGGCUGGUGCUUCAGCACAGUCAGCGAGAGCAAUACAGUCGUCACAAAUCAAGACAUUCCUAAGAUUCUGAAAGAUAAUCGGGUGAGAGCAACAGCGGAAACAGUUACCAAAUGCGUGACUGGUUUAGCUGAAAUGCUUAAGAGGGUUGUCAUGAAUUCGAGCCCAUCCUACCGACAGGAUCCUAAUAUCAACAAGGCGCUGCGUCACCUCCUUGGUUUGAUACGCAGAUACAAGUUCAGGGCAUGCACAUUUUUGAUCAAGUACCACGCAGCUACAGUUCCUCUAAUCAACAGACUGAUUCUCUUCAUUAUGAUCUAUGAUCAUACUGUAGAGAUUCUAAGGCGCACUGACCCUUAG
Molecule: ribosomal RNA, 789 nt
Filed under: Triticum aestivum (bread wheat)
Lineage: Eukaryota; Viridiplantae; Streptophyta; Magnoliopsida; Poales; Poaceae
Description: partial small subunit ribosomal RNA
Source: RNAcentral